CCUACGGGAGGCAGCAGUGGGGAAUUUUGGACAAUGGGCGCAAGCCUGAUCCAGCAAUGCCGCGUGCAGGAUGAAGGCCUUCGGGUUGUAAACUGCUUUUGUACGGAACGAAACGGUCUGCCCUAAUACGGUGGGCUAAUGACGGUACCGUAAGAAUAAGCACCGGCUAACUACGUGCCAGCAGCCGCGGUAAUACGUAGGGUGCGAGCGUUAAUCGGAAUUACUGGGCGUAAAGCGUGCGCAGGCGGUUAUAUAAGACAGAUGUGAAAUCCCCGGGCUCAACCUGGGACCUGCAUUUGUGACUGUAUAGCUAGAGUACGGUAGAGGGGGAUGGAAUUCCGCGUGUAGCAGUGAAAAUGCGUAGAUAUGCGGAGGAACACCGAUGGCGAAGGCAAUCCCCUGGACCUGUACUGACGCUCAUGCACGAAAGCGUGGGGAGCAAACAGGAUUAGAUACCCUGGUAGUCCACGCCCUAAACGAUAGUCAACUGGUUAGUUGGGUUCUUCACUGACUCAGUAACGAAAGACUAACGACGUGAAGUUGACCGCCUCGGGGAGUACGGCCGCGAAGUGAAACUUAAAAGGAAAUUAGUAAG
Molecule: ribosomal RNA, 595 nt
Filed under: uncultured bacterium
Lineage: Bacteria
Description: bacterial SSU rRNA
Rfam family: Bacterial small subunit ribosomal RNA
Source: RNAcentral